AUGCAAGUCGAACGAAUCCCUGAGGGCUUGCUUUCAGGGGGAAGUGGCGAAAGGGGCAGUAAGGCAUGGGUAACCUACCCCGGGGACCGGCAUAGCCUCUCUAACGAGAGGGUAAUUCCGGGUAUAAUGCGGGUCUCGCAUGGGUCCUGCAUGAGAUGAAUUUCGCCCUGGGAGGGGCUCAUGUGGUAUUAGCUUGUUGGCGGGGUAACGGCCCACCAAGGCUCAGAUGCCUAGCGGGUGUGAGAGCACGACCCGCGCCACUGGCACUGAGACACUGGCCAGACUCCUACGGGAGGCUGCAGUCGAGGAUCUUCGGCAAUGGGCGCAAGCCUGACCGAGCGACGCCGCGUGUGCGACGAAGGCCUUCGGGUUGUAAAGCACUGUCGAGGGGGAGGAAACCCGCAAGGGUUGACCUAUCCCUGGAGGAAGCACGGGCUAAGUUCGUGCAGCAGCCGCGGUAAGACGAACCGUGCGAACGUUGUUCGGAAUCACUGGGCUUAAAGGGCGCGUAGGCGGUCUUCCCCGUCCGGGGUGAAAUCUUUCGGCCCAACCGGAAAAGGGCCCCGGAAACAGG
Molecule: ribosomal RNA, 574 nt
Filed under: uncultured bacterium
Lineage: Bacteria
Description: bacterial SSU rRNA
Rfam family: Bacterial small subunit ribosomal RNA
Source: RNAcentral